Molecule: ribosomal RNA, 1680 nt
Filed under: Streptococcus thermophilus
Lineage: Bacteria; Bacillati; Bacillota; Bacilli; Lactobacillales; Streptococcaceae
Description: bacterial SSU rRNA
Rfam family: Bacterial small subunit ribosomal RNA (bases 1-1509)
Source: RNAcentral
GGGCAUGCGGGUGCUAUAAUGCAGUAGACGCUGAGAGAGGAGCUUGCUCUUCUUGGAUGAGUUGCGAACGGGUGAGUAACGCGUAGGUAACCUGCCUUGUAGCGGGGGAUAACUAUUGGAAACGAUAGCUAAUACCGCAUAACAAUGGAUGACACAUGUCAUUUAUUUGAAAGGGGCAAUUGCUCCACUACAAGAUGGACCUGCGUUGUAUUAGCUAGUAGGUGAGGUAAUGGCUCACCUAGGCGACGAUACAUAGCCGACCUGAGAGGGUGAUCGGCCACACUGGGACUGAGACACGGCCCAGACUCCUACGGGAGGCAGCAGUAGGGAAUCUUCGGCAAUGGGGGCAACCCUGACCGAGCAACGCCGCGUGAGUGAAGAAGGUUUUCGGAUCGUAAAGCUCUGUUGUAAGUCAAGAACGGGUGUGAGAGUGGAAAGUUCACACUGUGACGGUAGCUUACCAGAAAGGGACGGCUAACUACGUGCCAGCAGCCGCGGUAAUACGUAGGUCCCGAGCGUUGUCCGGAUUUAUUGGGCGUAAAGCGAGCGCAGGCGGUUUGAUAAGUCUGAAGUUAAAGGCUGUGGCUCAACCAUAGUUCGCUUUGGAAACUGUCAAACUUGAGUGCAGAAGGGGAGAGUGGAAUUCCAUGUGUAGCGGUGAAAUGCGUAGAUAUAUGGAGGAACACCGGUGGCGAAAGCGGCUCUCUGGUCUGUAACUGACGCUGAGGCUCGAAAGCGUGGGGAGCGAACAGGAUUAGAUACCUGGUAGUGCACGCCGUAAACGAUGAGUGCUAGGUGUUGGAUCCUUUCCAGGAUUCAGUGCCGUAGCUAACGCAUUAAGCACUCCGCCUGGGGAGUACGACCGCAAGGUUGAAACUCAAAGGAAUUGACGGGGGCCCGCACAAGCGGUGGAGCAUGUGGUUUAAUUCGAAGCAACGCGAAGAACCUUACCAGGUCUUGACAUCCCGAUGCUAUUUCUAGAGAUAGAAAGUUACUUCGGUACAUCGGUGACAGGUGGUGCAUGGUUGUCGUCAGCUCGUGUCGUGAGAUGUUGGGUUAAGUCCCGCAACGAGCGCAACCCUUAUUGUUAGUUGCCAUCAUUCAGUUGGGCACUCUAGCGAGACUGCCGGUAAUAAACCGGAGGAAGGUGGGGAUGACGUCAAAUCAUCAUGCCCCUUAUGACCUGGGCUACACACGUGCUACAAUGGUUGGUACAACGAGUUGCGAGUCGGUGACGGCGAGCUAAUCUCUUAAAGCCAAUCUCAGUUCGGAUUGUAGGCUGCAACUCGCCUACAUGAAGUCGGAAUCGCUAGUAAUCGCGGAUCAGCACGCCGCGGUGAAUACGUUCCCGGGCCUUGUACACACCGCCCGUCACACCACGAGAGUUUGUAACACCCGAAGUCGGUGAGGUAACCUUUUGGAGCCAGCCGCCUAAGGUGGGACAGAUGAUUGGGGUGAAGUCGAAUCAUGAGCCAGUCUGACAGUGUGCAUGGUGUCGUCAGCUCGUGUCGUGAGAUGUGGGGUAAGUCCCGCACGAGCGCACCCUAUGUAGUGCAUCAUUAGUGGCACUUCUAGCGAGACUGCCGGUGACAACGAAGAAGGGUGGGAAUGACGUUCAUCAUCAUGCCCCUUAUAGAACCUGGGGCUACACACACACACGUGUGCUCUACUACAUAGUUG